Molecule: ribosomal RNA, 434 nt
Filed under: uncultured bacterium
Lineage: Bacteria
Description: bacterial SSU rRNA
Rfam family: Bacterial small subunit ribosomal RNA
Source: RNAcentral
AUUGAACGCUGGCGGAAUGCUUUACACAUGCAAGUCGAGCGGCAGCGCGGGGGCAACCCUGGCGGCGAGCGGCGAACGGGUGAGUAACAUAUCGGAACGUACCCAGUCGUGGGGGAUAACUAUCCGAAAGGAUAGCUAAUACCGCAUACGACCUGAGGGUGAAAGCGGGGGACCGAAAGGCCUCGCGCGAUUGGAGCGGCCGAUAUCGGAUUAGCUAGUUGGUGAGGUAAAGGCUCACCAAGGCGACGAUCCGUAGCUGGUCUGAGAGGACGACCAGCCACACUGGGACUGAGACACGGCCCAGACUCUUACGGGAGGCAGCAGUGGGGGAAUUUUGGACAAUGGGCGGAAGCCUGAUCCAGCCAUGCCGCGUGAGUGAAGAAGGCCUCGGUUGUAAGCUCUUCGGUGGGGUAAGGAAAUUAGCACGGGUUAAU